AUUGAGGGAGCGUGCGUCGUGACGUCAUCAAAAGAACUCUUAUAUACAGGAGCCCAGGCACCAUACUGUCUUUUCGAGGUAGGAGUCGACUCCUGUGAGGUAUGGUGCUGGGUGCAGAUGCAGUGUGGCUCUGGAUAGCACCUUAUGGACAGUUGUGUCCCCAAGGAAGGAUGAGAAUAGCUACUGAAGUCCUAAAGAGCAAGCCUAACUCAAGCCAUUGGCACACAGGCAUUAGACAGAAAGCUGGAAGUUGAAAUGGUGGAGUCCAACUUGCCUGGACCAGCUUAAUGGUUCUGCUCCUGGUAACGUUUUUAUCCAUGGAUGACUUGCUUGGGUAAGGACAUGAAGACAGUUCCUGUCAUACCUUUUAAAGGUAUGGAGAGUCGGCUUGACUACACUGUGUGGAGCAAGUUUUAAAGAAGCAAAGGACUCAGAAUUCAUGAUUGAAGAAAUGCAGGCAGACCUGUUAUCCUAAACUAGGGUUUUUAAUGACCACAACAAGCAAGCAUGCAGCUUACUGCUUGAAAGGGUCUUGCCUCACCCAAGCUAGAGUGCAGUGGCCUUUGAAGCUUACUACAGCCUCAAACUUCUGGGCUCAAGUGAUCCUCAGCCUCCCAGUGGUCUUUGUAGACUGCCUGAUGGAGUCUCAUGGCACAAGAAGA
This 662-nucleotide long non-coding RNA is filed under the name Homo sapiens (human). RNAcentral describes it as "HSALNT0296643". The record is from RNAcentral. Lineage: Eukaryota; Metazoa; Chordata; Mammalia; Primates; Hominidae.